GGCGGCAGGCUUAACACAUGCAAGUCGAACGCCCGAGCAAUCGGGAGUGGCAGACGGGUGAGUAACACGUGGGAACAUACCCUCAGGUUCGGAACAACGCCGGGAAACUGGCGCUAAUACCGGAUACGCCCUUUUGGGGAAAGGCUUGCUGCCUGAGGAUUGGCCCGCGUUCGAUUAGCUGGAUGGCGGGGUAACGGCCCACCAUGGCGACGAUCGAUAGCUGGUCUGAGAGGAUGGCCAGCCACAUUGGGACUGAGACACGGCCCAAACUCCUACGGGAGGCAGCAGUGGGGAAUAUUGGACAAUGGGCGCAAGCCUGAUCCAGCCAUGCCGCGUGAGUGAUGACGGCCUUAGGGUUGUAAAGCUCUUUCGCACGCGACGAUAAUGACGGUAGCGUGAGAAGAAGCCCCGGCUAACUUCGUGCCAGCAGCCGCGGUAAUACGAAGGGGGCUAGCGUUGUUCGGAAUCACUGGGCGUAAAGGGUGCGCAGGCGGGUUCAUAAGUCAGGGGUGAAAUCCCGAGGCUCAACCUCGGAACGGCCUUUGAUACUGUGGAUCUUGAGUCCGGAAGAGGUGAGUGGAACUG
This 585-nucleotide ribosomal RNA is filed under the name uncultured bacterium. Its description in RNAcentral is "bacterial SSU rRNA". It matches the Rfam family "Bacterial small subunit ribosomal RNA", at positions 38 to 669 of the family's 1533-position model. The record is from RNAcentral.